AGAGCGAACGCUGGCGGCAUGCUUAACACAUGCAAGUCGCACGGUUUGGGGGCAACUCCAGGCAGUGGCGGACGGGUGAGUAACGCGUAGGCAUCUAUCCAAGGGUGGGGGACAACCACGGGAAACUGUGGCUAAUACCGCAUGACGACUUUGGCCGAGAGGUUGAGGUCCAAAGGCCGUGAGGUCGCCUAUGGAGGAGCCUGCGUCCGAUUAGCUUGUGGUGGGUAAAGGCCUACCAAGGCGACGAUCGGUAGCUGGUCUGAGAGGAUGAUCAGCCACAUUGGGACUGAGACACGGCCCAAACUCCUACGGGAGGCAGCAGUGGGGAAUAUUGGACAAUGGGCGCAAGCCUGAUCCAGCCAUGCCGCGUGAGUGAUGAAGGCCCUAGGGUUGUAAAGCUCUUUUGUGCGGGAAGAUAAUGACGGUACCGCAAGAAUAAGCCCGGCUAACUUCGUGCCAGCAGCCGC
Molecule: ribosomal RNA, 467 nt
Filed under: uncultured bacterium
Lineage: Bacteria
Description: SSU rRNA
Rfam family: Bacterial small subunit ribosomal RNA
Source: RNAcentral